Molecule: long non-coding RNA, 201 nt
Filed under: Elaeis guineensis (African oil palm)
Lineage: Eukaryota; Viridiplantae; Streptophyta; Magnoliopsida; Arecales; Arecaceae
Description: long non-coding RNA (EGUI_LNC080036)
Source: RNAcentral
GUCACCAGUUUCUCAGGCUCUUCCUCCUCCGACAAUGGCAGUCAGCAUGGAGCAAUUCGACUUGUCGGUUCAUCAGGUCAGGGACCUCACCGAAGCAGUGCAGGCCAUGCAGCAGCAGCAGCAACAGCCACAGGCAUUUGUGUGGCUAGAAAGAGCAUCGCCGGAGUUCCAGAAUCCGACGAUCGGGCGGGCCACUUGGGC